GUCAUAUCGUGUUAUUAUCUGAGUAAAACCAGUCCGAAUGAAUGGAUGUCAAAAAAAUGUGCUUAAAUUGUUAAUGUGAAGCGUUAAAUGUGCUAAGAGAGCCGCUAAGUGUAGCAUCACGAUGAUAGUUUGCUAAUCGUAUUUUUGUUUCCUGGACAAAUUGUUGGAUGAUACGAUUGGAUCCUGAAUAAUCUGAGUGGAUUCUUCUUGAUAACUCUUUGUCACCUUGUCGUCAUGUAUCAACUCUUCAGCUCUUGGUUCUUCUGUUCUUACCUGGAUGUUAUUUCUGGGGAAGUGGUAGGACCGAGACUUUACAUCAUGCACAUUGCCCGGGACUGAAUACAUAUUUUUUUUUUGCAUCCCAAGAAAAGGAAGAAAACACUGAACAUUUACAGAUUGGGGAUAUCAUUUUCAAAAUGCUUGGGUUAUGAUUGUAUUGUUAAUAUUUGUUUCAAGUUAAUUGUCAGUUUGUUUUCAUUACUUGGGUUUUCUGAAGUGCUUGAACAGGAAAAAAAACAUUCACAUAGAUUGCCACAAUAUACAUUACUGGCUAACCGUUUCUCUGUGUGUGUGUGUGUGUGUGUGUGUGUGUGUGUGUGUGUGUGUGUGUGUGUGUGUGUGUGUGUGUGUGUGUGUGUGUUUGUGUGUGUGGCACUGAUUCAUUUUUUUUAAAUAUUGCCUUUAAUAGACUUUUAUGAUGCUUUCA
Long non-coding RNA from Tachysurus fulvidraco (yellow catfish), 706 nucleotides. RefSeq lists it as uncharacterized. The transcript is spliced from 2 exons. The record is from RefSeq and is a predicted model, not a curated record. Lineage: Eukaryota; Metazoa; Chordata; Actinopteri; Siluriformes; Bagridae.